Molecule: ribosomal RNA, 253 nt
Filed under: uncultured bacterium
Lineage: Bacteria
Description: partial 16S ribosomal RNA
Rfam family: Bacterial small subunit ribosomal RNA
Source: RNAcentral
UACGUAGGUGGCAAGCGUUAUCCGGAUUUAUUGGGCGUAAAGGGAACGCAGGCGGUCUUUUAAGUCUGAUGUGAAAGCCUUCGGCUAAACCGGUGUAGUGCAUUGGAAACUGGGAGACUUGAGUGCAGAAGAGGAGAGUGGAACUCCAUGUGUAGCGGUGAAAUGCGUAGAUAUAUGGAAGAACACCAGUGGCGAAAGCGGCUCUCUGGUCUGUAACUGACGCUGAGGUUCGAAAGCGUGGGUAGCAAACAGG